AUUGAACGCUGGCGGCAUGCCUUACACAUGCAAGUCGAACGGCAGCAUGGAGAGCUUGCUCUCUGAUGGCGAGUGGCGAACGGGUGAGUAAUGCAUCGGAACGUACCGUGUAAUGGGGGAUAACGUAGCGAAAGUUACGCUAAUACCGCAUACGACCUGAGGGUGAAAGCAGGGGAUCGCAAGACCUUGCGUUAUACGAGCGGCCGAUGUCGAGAUUAGCUAGUUGGUGAGGUAAAGGCUCACCAAGGCGACGAUCUGUAGCGGGUCUGAGAGGAUGAUCCGCCACACUGGGACUGAGACACGGCCCAGACUCCUACGGGACGCAUCAGUGGGGAAUUUUGGACAAUGGGGGCAACACUGGUCCAGCCACGCCGGGUAAGUGAAGAAGGCCUUCGGGGUGUAAAGCACUUUCGGCCGGGAAGAAAUCGCACAGCCUAAUACUCUGUGUGUAUGACGGUACCGGCAUAAGAAGCACCGGCUAACUACGUGCCAGCCGCCGCCGUAA
RNAcentral lists this ribosomal RNA (505 nucleotides) under uncultured bacterium. Its description in RNAcentral is "partial 16S ribosomal RNA". It matches the Rfam family "Bacterial small subunit ribosomal RNA", at positions 30 to 523 of the family's 1533-position model. The record is from RNAcentral.